This is a non-coding RNA of Paralichthys olivaceus (Japanese flounder), 1260 nucleotides long. The record is from RefSeq and is a predicted model, not a curated record. Lineage: Eukaryota; Metazoa; Chordata; Actinopteri; Pleuronectiformes; Paralichthyidae.
UUCCCAGCAAUCCCUGCAAAAAAGGACACUUCCAUGUAUGCUGAACAUGUAGGGGUGAUCAAAUUGGACAGGGUCGUUUUCAAAGGGCCCCAAAGGCCCCCAAACCCCCCAAAUGGCCAAUUUGGCACCAAUAAGACACCAGCUCCAAAAUGCCAUUUAAAAAAAGCUUGACAAUGGUUUUAAACAGUGAAACCCACUCCUCAUAUACACCUUGGUCUACCCCUAUGGUUUGAACUUAUUCUGGCCCAUCCAGUUGUCAUACAGUUGGUUCUAAUGAACCAGUCACAGUCGGUGCGCAGCUGAGCUCUCAGACACUUUCAGUUGUGUUUUGUGCGUUUCCAAACCCUGGAGCAUCUCUGACAGGCUACAGAUCUUCUGCUGCUGGGAUUUUAGAAUCAAUGAGACCGUUUUCUUUUGGACUGGAGCAAAAAAAACUCAAAGGGAUAUAUUUUCUCGAGAGCAGAGUCCAACAGAACAAAAAGAAAUCUAUGGACCCUAUGGGCAUCUCCAAAAGUGCGCAGGUGUAUCCAAAGGCACAAAGAGCCCUGAAAAGGUUCCAAGGGGGAGAAUCUGAAGUUUAUCCAGAAUAAAAGCCUCCGGCCUCAGGCAGCAGCUGAACAAGUGAAGCCCUGUUCCCUCUCUGCAGCCUGGGAUGGAGAAACGGGAGCAUGAAGGCGAGCACGUGUUAAAAAUGUCAAAGGCUUCAUUAUCUGCAGCCCGGAUUGUCCGUGUCAUCGCUCGGACCACGCAACAGACGCGCAUCAGUGUCGCGGUUACUUCUGCAGCCGGAGCAGGACGCACGCGCCUGUUCUCUCGGUGCAUUUGUCGCAGCAGCUGUCAAACAGAUCAUGUUUCACACAGCGAAGAGAUGAACACUCACUGGUCGUGACACACAUGGAGCAAACUACACUUGUGCAACAUCAGCUGUGCGUAUUAGUGCCGCUGCGGUAAAGCGUAAUUAUUAUCUUUAGGUUCCAGAGAGACACAAACAACCUGCGUGUUGCAAGAGUGUGUUGUGUGUUUUUAUUUUCAGCUGCUGGCAGGUGGAGCGACGUGUCGACGGUUCGAAACCCACAGUGAUGAGGUCUGGAGGCAGAGAACACAAAGAGAUGAGGUACAGAUCAAACCAAAAUGUCGUGGUUCUUCUUCCUCUCAUUCAUUAAACAGUAGUAGUAUUUGCUGACUUCACCGUACAACCAUUCCAUAUUGUUUGUCUGAUGUCAGUGUGAAUAUUCUCAAAUAAAAUUAUAAAUAAAUAUA